Molecule: ribosomal RNA, 276 nt
Filed under: Klebsiella pneumoniae
Lineage: Bacteria; Pseudomonadati; Pseudomonadota; Gammaproteobacteria; Enterobacterales; Enterobacteriaceae
Description: partial 23S ribosomal RNA
Rfam family: Bacterial large subunit ribosomal RNA
Source: RNAcentral
AAUUCGUUGCACUAUCGUUAACUGAAUACAUAGGUUAACGAGGCGAACCGGGGGAACUGAAACAUCUAAGUACCCCGAGGAAAAGAAAUCAACCGAGAUUCCCCCAGUAGCGGCGAGCGAACGGGGAGCAGCCCAGAGUCUGAAUCAGCUUGUGUGUUAGUGGAACGGUCUGGAAAGUCCGACGGUACAGGGUGAUAGUCCCCGUACACCAAAAUGCACAGGCUGUGAACUCGAAGAGUAGGGCGGGACACGUGGUAUCCUGUCUGAAUAUGGGGG